GAUGAACGCUGGCGGCGUGCCUAAUACAUGCAAGUCGAGCGAACAGACGAGGAGCUUGCUCCUCUGACGUUAGCGGCGGACGGGUGAGUAACACGUGGAUAACCUACCUAUAAUACUGGUAUAACUUCGGGAAACCGGAGCUAAUACCGGAUAAUAUAUUGAACCGCAUGGUUCAAUAGUGAAAGACGGUUUUGCUGUCACUUAUAGAUGGAUCCGCGCCGCAUUAGCUAGUUGGUAAGGUAACGGCUUACCAAGGCAACGAUGCGUAGCCGACCUGAGAGGGGGAUCGGCCACACUGGAACUGAGACACGGUCCAGACGACUACGGGAGGCAGCAGUAGGGAAUCUGCCGCAAUGGGCGAAAGCCUGACGGAGCAACGCCGCGUGAGUGAUGAAGGUCUUCGGAUCGUAAAACUCUGUUAUUAGGGAAGAACAAAUGUGUAAGUAACUAUGCACGUAUUGACGGUACCUAAUCAGAAAGCCACGGCUAACUACGUG
RNAcentral lists this ribosomal RNA (497 nucleotides) under uncultured bacterium. RNAcentral's name for it is "partial 16S ribosomal RNA". It matches the Rfam family "Bacterial small subunit ribosomal RNA", at positions 28 to 507 of the family's 1533-position model. The record is from RNAcentral.